AGAACGAACGCUGGCGGCAUGCCUAAUACAUGCAAGUCGAACGAACUCUUCGGAGUUAGUGGCGCACGGGUGCGUAACGCGUGGGAAUCUGCCCUUGGGUUCGGAAUAACAGUUGGAAACGACUGCUAAUACCGGAUGAUGACGAAAGUCCAAAGAUUUAUCGCCCAGGGAUGAGCCCGCGUAGGAUUAGCUAGUUGGUGAGGUAAAGGCUCACCAAGGCGACGAUCCUUAGCUGGUCUGAGAGGAUGAUCAGCCACACUGGGACUGAGACACGGCCCAGACUCCUACGGGAGCAGCAGGUAGGGAAUA
This 309-nucleotide ribosomal RNA is filed under the name uncultured soil bacterium. RNAcentral describes it as "bacterial SSU rRNA". It matches the Rfam family "Bacterial small subunit ribosomal RNA", at positions 26 to 363 of the family's 1533-position model. The record is from RNAcentral.